RNAcentral lists this ribosomal RNA (253 nucleotides) under uncultured bacterium. RNAcentral's name for it is "partial 16S ribosomal RNA". It matches the Rfam family "Bacterial small subunit ribosomal RNA", at positions 524 to 776 of the family's 1533-position model. The record is from RNAcentral.
UACGUAGGGGGCAAGCGUUGUCCGGAAUCAUUGGGCGUAAAGCGCGUGUAGGUGGCUUGGUAAGUGCGGUGUGAAACCCUGGGGCUCAACCCCAGGCCUGCACCGCAUACUGCCUCGCUCGAGUUCGGGAGGGGAGAGCGGAAUUCCUAGUGUAGCGGUGAAAUGCGCAGAUAUUAGGAAGAACACCGGUGGCGAAGGCGGCUCUCUGGAACGAUACUGACACUGAGACGCGAAAGCGUGGGUAGCGAACAGG